This is a long non-coding RNA of Solea solea (common sole), 8549 nucleotides long. RefSeq lists it as uncharacterized. The transcript is spliced from 3 exons. The record is from RefSeq and is a predicted model, not a curated record. NCBI's taxonomy places the organism in Eukaryota, Metazoa, Chordata, Actinopteri, Pleuronectiformes, Soleidae.
CCCCCCCCCCCCCCCAGCUCAGAGCUCAAAUGCUGAAAUGUGCUUUUAUCUGACUUAGUCAGGGUUAUCAUUAAAAGUGAAUUUUUUGUGGGGAUUUAAAUUGUGCUUAAGAUGUUUUAUAUCGAAAUACAUGGAAAGAUCUUAAAGUCCAGAGAGAGAGGGGAGUUGCCGGGGAAAUAACUCACACACCGCAAAGGGGAAAUAGUGUUUAUUUUUCUGUGUUUACCCUCAUCAGUUCUUGGAAGAAUAUUCUUUUCUGACAUGAUAACACAAGCUCCAUGCUCCUUAGUGACAGCUAACGAAUGAUCCUUGCUUUGGGUGUUGAGCCCUCUUGAAGUGAGAUUCCAUCUCUGCAUUGCUCACUCUAUUACAGAAUAACUUGAUUGAUCUUCGAGGUACUUAACGGUCUGAUUAGUUUUUCUCUUUUCCUUUGCUGAGUCCAGUCUCAGCUGAGUCCAGCCUACCUCAGCUCAGAUUCCUAAACGCGCCUCACACAGGGGAGGUCUUUAAAGGUACUGCUGUAGUGACUUUUCUUUUCUUUCCUUUUUUUGUUGUUUUUGUGUCACAACCAUGUAGCUCCCAUAAACUCCGACUAAAACUCGUCCUCUUGGCAGUCUGACCUGUCCUCGUGGAGAGAACGGUUGAUGCUCAGCCCCUCAAACAAUGAGCAUUCACUGAGGUUGCUGAGCUGUGCAUGGGCCUUGUUUUCAUUAUUUCAAAAUGGCAGCUGUUUUGAACCUUUUUUUUUAUUUUUGUAGGCUUUUUUUUUUUUCCCACCUUUCACAGUGAACCAUUUUGACUGAAUUAUGUUGUCGUCAUUACAAGCUAUUGCGUCGUUCCCGUCAUUUCUCUUUGCCAGUGGUUACGCCGCGUGUGUGACUUCUGUGCUGUCAACUUCCCCCUGAACUGUGUAGAGUGACCAGGCCCUAUCACAAGCACAACAACCACAUCCCCCCCCCCGCUCUCUUCCAGCAAGUAAAGCUUUCGAAAAAUGUCCUUUACACAUGGCCUUCAUAAUAACAGGGAUAAUAUAACUGGAGUAAAGCCUCGGUGUUACAAUCCCAGGCGUCAGCUGAGGCUGUUUGCAUUAGCAACAGAUUAAUAAAAGCUUGAUGUGGUUAUCCCAUGAUUUCAAACUAUAAUGAGUAGAGCCUGAGGAAUGUCUCUGUGAUAAUCAAACACUGGAAAGAUGGGGAAAAUUCAUCUUAGUCACAGUAAUGGUGUCAAAAUAACCACUGAAAAAUUCCUGCUUUUGAGUUGACAGCACUUAAAGGAAGAUCCACCUGAAAACAGAACAGAUUAAGUACAGUAUUGAUUAAAAAAAUAUAACAAUAACAAAAAAAACCAUUCUGAUAAGUUGUUUUUAGAAAAAAAAAAAGUUGGUUGAACUAUCGUCUUUAAGGUCCAGUGUGUAAGAUUAUGUGAAAUUGUACAGUAAAAAAAAAACAGGGACUCCUCUGUGAACUAUGGUACCUUCACUCUCUCUGCCAUUUCCUUUAUCUACUUUGUUGGUGUAUAUAUCAGGUUUAUUUUUCUAAAUUUACAUAUUAAGCUUCCCUUUUAAAUGCAAAAAAGCAUUUCCAUUUGUGUGUGUUACAUUCACAUUACUCAGUUUUUGUUAGAAAAACAUCCCCCACUGCUGUGAAUACGCCUGUCGUCCACACUACCCCUGGAGUUUUAGAGCCCCUAAAUACUGAUUUUGUUUGAAAAAAAUCAGACCUUUGGAAAAAAUGACGCAGUUAUCCGCGUUCGAUUCCUGAUUGGUUCACCCACGAUAGCUAUGUUAAGACGUGCAAAGCGAUCAGUUCCGGUAGGAUGGUACAAUUCCACCGUUUACAUGGACGCAAAAUGAAAUGACCCGAUGGUGGUGUGCGUACACAUGCGUGAAGCGUUCAGUCAGAAUGGACUAUGGACGUGUGCAGUGUUGUCUAAGAAGAAGAAGCUUCACUUCCGCUUCUGUUGUAAACAAACACUGCACGUGUCUGCUCGUCCCAUCACUGUCCACUAUUCUCCCCUUCUGCGUCUGUGACCUUUUUUUAAAAUGGAAAAACAGCAGGAUGUAUUUUUUUGGACAAUACUGUGUUAAAAAAAGGAGAAGAAAAUCUUCCUAUAUAUAUAUAUAUAUAUAUAUAUAUAUAUAUAUAUAUAUAUAUAUAUAUAUACCAAUCUGCUUAUGGGUAGUGUAUUCCAUUUCUGUCAAUUAACCCUCCUCAAUGUUACACACUGGACCUUUAAAGCAUCUCUGGCAGACGGAAAAUAUCCGAGAAAAUGACUCUGUGCGUGAUAAAAACAACAGCCUCAUCAAAGAUGGCUCUCAUAUAUUUAUCUUAACCACAGAGGUCUGCGUAUAUGAGUGCACUAAACUAAACAACCUGAGAUCAGAGGAAUAAGGACUCGUUCCCUUUUUUUAGCGUGGACUUUCCCUUAAAGGCUGAGUGAAAAUGUGAAAGGAUUUUUUCUUCCCUCGCAGUCAUGUUUGAGCUCAGCACGAGCAGCAGACUUAAGAACUCAUGUUUUUUUUGUAAAGUAACCAGUAGCACUUACUAAAGCCUUACAUGUGCCUUAUAUUAUUCUCCAAAACACAGUGAGUCAGUAGCAACAGUUCUGAGAAAAGAAACUUCAAGUCCAGUUGAUCCCGACUCGCUGUGUUUUGAUAACGAUGACCUGGAUGAAUGAGAAUCUACACAGACACGUGCCUUAUUCUUUCAAACUGUUCAUAAUCCUGAACCAGGAAGCUCCCAACUCAUUAAGCUCUUACCUGUCUAACCAAAGACACAAAAUCUUGAAUUAUGGUGAACUUUCUUAAGUGUUGUGCCUUUUUUUCUUCCUGCCCCCCCCCCCCGUCUUUAAAUCUCACUGAGAAGGGGAUUGACGGUGGACAGUCAUAUAGAACCUCUCGCCUGCCUUUUCUCUUAAUAUUACCUCACUUUGAUUGAAUCAACACAACCUCCUCGAGCUCAAGUAUCCGAAUUUCCUCGCGUUAUUUUUCAUGCCAUAACUGUCUGUGAGAUGGAAAAGACUGAAUCACCAGCAGCACUUUGGUUUAAAGUGAUUUUAUAUUGGGGGGGAGGAGGGGCAAUUAAAAUCUCAUAGUAUUAAUUCAAAACAAUCCCAAAAUUGUCAGCAUAUCAAAAAAAAACAGCAUUUGGCGAUGCUGCGGAGAGUCUGACAUGAUUUCAUCCUCUUGAGACUCUUUCUCUUUGCGUUGUUUAUGUCCUUGUUUUGUUCUGUUUUGCAAGAAUAAUGAGCUGAAACUGCCUUUUUCUUAUAGAGUAACGGUCCCUCCAGAACUUUUAAGGGACGUGUCAGUAUAUUUUGGAUACUUUGUGUACAAAAAAGAGAACAAAAAAAAAAUAAACAGAAAUGAAAUAGUGUUGUAUUUUAUAUAUAAUAGAACAUUUCAAUAUAGUGACACGUCACUAAUAUAUUUAUUUACUAAUAUAUUUAUCCAUUUUGUCCAGGUUUGAAAGAGUGGUUUCUGUAUAGAGUGAAUGUUCCUAUAUGGAAACUGACCAGUGCCAUCACAGAUCUAUCAACCUGUCUUCAUUCCAAGUAUAUGCAAAUAAAUUAUUUUGAAGUAAAAACCUGAAUGUUGUGUACAUUUUUCCUGCGGGAGAAUCCAGUGAAGUGUCACGUGUGUUGUCUUUCUGUGGAAGUCUUGUCGGGAAUAUUUAAUAUAUUUUAUUUAACAGCUUUUAUUAGACCUCUGAAGAAGAUUGAGACCACAUUGGAAAUCUCUUAUAUUUAGAAAAGGUUACAUUGAGACUCUUAUAGAGAGUAAUGUCAUGUAAAAUGACAUAUUUAAUAAUUUACAAAUGUUUGCCAAAAAAUGUUUGCCAAAAUACUUUUAAAAUAGUCAGAUGUUUGUGUCCUUCCAUGUCUUCAGGUGACAUUCUGUAUAAAAAGCAUCUAAACAUCAAUGGCUCCAACUCAUCAUAUACAGACAGAAUCCACUUAUUUAAAAGUACAAAAUUACUUUUACAAAAAAGGUAAUAAUGCUCUCCUGCUUCAGCUUGAAUUUCAGCAAAAAAAUUCAAAUGUUUUUAUGCAGUAAAAUAGUGAGAGCAACAUCUUUUUGACACUAAUAGACACCUGACCUGCUGUUGACCUAAUCUUCAAGACUUUCACUUGGCCUUCACUUCACAAAGUCUGCAGCACAGUUAGCAAAUAGCUGGAAGCUAACUAGCUUCAAGAUGCCUCCCCUCUCCAUGGACGAGUACACCACACUUCUACAGGAGAUUACUGCGCUGGAAACUUAAGAUGCACAGGUUAGAAGUGAACGUGGAGGUAAAUGGACUGUAUGAAAAUGAUAGCACUCUUCCAUUUAACUACAAUAACAGAGAAAAGCAUGCCAACGGCUAACUAGCAACAAGAAGAGCGCUGAGCACCAGAAUGGCUGUUUGACCACUACAAACGGGGAAAAAACACUAAUUACUAAAUUUUGGUACCAAACAUUUUGCUCUCAUUGUUUGAUUCGUUAAGAUGUGUUGUUAUUUGUAUUUAAAAAAUUACAGCAAGCCUUUCGCCUGCAUUUUAAACUGAAAAUAAAUAAUAUGACCAGUGACAUCAGCUGGUGAAUAUAGUAGAACAGAGCGCCUGAUAAACUGACAAGUUGAUAAAUUGGCCUGAUAAAUUAACUUUACUGACAUAUGAACCAAAAAUCCCAGAAUUUUGAACGUUUGUACUCUCUUUACGAGAGUUAAAAGUGUCCUGCUCACAUGUUAGCAUCACAUGUACGUAUGCUAAGCUACUGCUAGCAGCUGGUUAGCUUAGUAAUCUUAGCAUGUAGAUUCAUGCUAAGAUUACCAGGCUCAAUGUAACAUAACCCAAUUAUCAGCUGUGUCCCAACCUUAUAUGAGGGACCUACUUUUUUUAAAGAUGACAAACUAUUGCAUUGUACGAAAUAUGUGUAAAUUACGACAAGCAAUUUUUUACUGUCAUUUCUGUAAGACAUUUCGCAGCUUCAUUUUAUGUAUAUAAGUUUUUUAUAAUAAAUCAUAUAUACUGUGCAGAUACCAGAGUGAUGUCAAUGUACUUAAAGGUCCAGUUUGUAAGAGUAAUAUGAAACUUAGAAAAUACCCCAAAAUGAGUUGAUAUAAUAAUAUUUAGAUCAUGAUUUCACAGUGUCCGACAAUGGAUAAACUAAAAGCCUUUUUGAGUUUUAAUAAUAACUGAAGGCUCUCCAUAACUAUUUUUCCACCAAGUGAAAAAUUCAAUUUGGUACAAUACUAUACAUAUUUUUAUAACCGACCCCAACGGUUCCAUAGUUUUGUUCCCUUCCCUUGGAGUAAAAUGGUACAGGGUAGAACAUCACUCCCUUGCGAUCAGUGUAAAUAUCCUAUGGACAUCUAGGCCAAUGUUCGCAGUCUUUUCUCAUGCAAAGCUUGACCUCUCGUUGAGACGUGUCCAAUGUUGUCCAUUGUUGUCUAUGUUGCUGUCUGUUGUGUCGCGUUCAAUGCCGUUUUCGUUGCAGCCAUCGAUCUCAGCCUACAUCGAAAUAACGCAAGCCUGACCCAGAGCUUUACCAUUCCAAACCGUACCGUACCAUACUGUACCAAACCGAACCAUACCAUGAUGGAAACGCAGCACUUCCGGUUCAUUGAUGGGCAUCUUGAUGGUCUCUUCAUAGUUUGUGACCACGAUGGACCUCAGUGAGCUGAACUCUGUGUGGAUCUGCUUGUCAUCUAUGGACCAGAACCGGUGGAACAGCAAACACUUCAGGUACCUGGAAUUUUUGGAGAACAAGAGGUGGAGUGUUUACUUGUCCUUUGGUCCUGUGUGUGUGUCCACUGUGUCCGUCCAGUGUGUGUACGUGCACUCAGUCAGGAAUCUUACCAGUCUGAAAUUGGCAACAUUUGGUCAUCUGGCUGGUUUCCCACAAUGUGAUCGAUGAACCUCAAACCUGUGGGUGGACUAUACAGAAGAGUAGAGAAAAAAAGUGGAGAGACAAAUUCAGAGUCCCUGCUUCAUACUGGUAUGUACUUUUUGUACAUAUUUAUCUGCCACCAAAUAAAAUAAAAAAAAUAGGAUUAAGUCAAUGUUCAGGGACUGGUUUCACUUUGUAGACAUCUGCUGUCAAGGAAAAAUACAUUUAAAAGAGCCACCCUGCUCCACCCUGGAGUAGCCAGUGCUUGACUAUUAUUGAUACAAAUCAAUAAUUAGUGAUAAUAAUAAUAAUAAUAAUAAUAAUAAUAGUGUUAAUUCCACCAAACCAGUGUCACUCUUGUUACAGUCAAAUCUAGUCUUAAUUUGCUCUUUCAUAUUCAAAGGGAAUAUUAAUGAAUGUUAAUUGACUUUGGUUUUUAAAACAUUUCACUCUAUUCAGAUAUUUAAAAAUAUCUGAAGAUAUCUUGAUUUCUUUAAUAUGUUAACAACCAAGUAAAAUCACUUUCUGGAAACAAUAUUUGCUCAACAACUGUUCUUUUAUUUAGUUUUAAAUAAUUAAUAUCUAAAGGCAUAUGAAUCUCUUGAUCUAAAUUACCAGAUUUGAAGUAAUUUAACAGCACAUCAGGAUCUGACUGAGUUUAGGACAAGUCGAUACAUUUUGGAGGAAUUAUAGUUAAGCAGCAGGCUUCCACCCUGUCUCUAUUCUUUUUCAUCUUCUUUCAAGGCCUAACCUGCAAAGUCAGUCAUUGUGCCACCUAAUGGCAACAGGAAGUAUGCCUUCAAUAAUAACCUUGCUUCAUUUACAUCAGGAAUCUAGCAAGUUACUGAGCCCCUCUGGUGACAUAGGUGAAAAAAAUAUUAAUGUGUGGCCAUGCGUUACUAUCUCGUUCCCACAACUUAGUAAUGGGAACGAGAUAGUAACGCUUGGCCAACAUUAUAAAUUAAUAUUUAAUGCUUUAAUAUUAGUACUUAUGAUACGUAAAAUAUGACGUAAAUUGCGCAAAAAAACACAGGUUUUUUUGUCAUUGUGAAUAAUUUGGCUUGCCAUAAUAAGUAUCUUGUUACCACGUGUAACCAAGGCGUGGGAACGAGAUUGUAACGCGUGGCCACACAUUAAUAUUUUCUUAUCUAUGUCACCAGAUAAGCUCCGUAGCAAGUAAAUUUGGCCAUGGGCUAAUAUUUUUCUAAGCAAUUGAAUAGACAUUAUAUCUUCAUAAGGCAAAAGUAACUUUUUUAUUCUAAUCUAAACUGGUCAAUAUUGUACAAAAAUCCUAAAUUUAACAAAUGUAUUGGUUUAAAAAAGUUACUUGAAUUUGCCACAGACUGUUGAGUGUCUUAAAACUGCUCUUUGACUCUUUGGCUCUAAAUUCUGAAUGACUUUGUCAUUUUUGUGAAGAAAAGCAAUUUAAACAAUUUAAAAAAAAACGUCUACUACUACUUCAUAAUAAGGCUGGCAACUGAUUUGCUUGAAGCUUUCAGGUUGUUGUCUACAUUUGAAAAAAGAUUGUUUAAAGUCUAAUACAUAGCAUUGCUACUUUUACUGAAGAUCCUUUUAGAUAAAAGAAAAUAAAAAAUCAUUUUAAAAUUUUUUUUCAUGAAACAAAACAAACCAUGUUGUUAGUGAGGAGACUCACAGUGUGGGUAACAGAGGAUCCAUGAACAGAGGCUCUUUGUAGCUGGGCAGGAAAACACCUUUGUAUGGUCCCAGGUAUUCGAUGAGUGUGUGUGUUGUAUCUCCAUACUGAGGACAAAACAUUGACACAACAAUUACUCAAUCUCCAGUUUCAUGUGUGUAUUUACACGAGGCCCUCCGAUGUGCGUCACUCCUCACGUACUGUCUGAACCACAGCAUACUUGACCCUCCCGUGCUGAUCCUGCUCCACCCAUGGUUCCCUCACAAUCACGGCUCCCCGCUCUUUGGCUGUCUGUCAGCAGAGAGGACAUGGAGCUGGGAUCAGUUUGGAAAUGACACGAGCAUCGUACAGUACAGUACAACACUGUGUGCACUGCUCUUUGAAGCCCUCCAGUGGUUGAAGAAAGAAUAUAUUGAACACUUUAAAUGAUGCUGCUGUUGAGCUCUCCUCUAAAGUCAGUCUGACCCUGACUGAGCUGAGAAGUUCAAACACAUCCCAAGGUUGCUCUUGUUGUCACUACAGAAGCAAACAUGCUGAGUUUUGUAUGGCACUGAUUUCAAAAUUGAGACAAGUUUUUCAAGCAAGUCACAAAGGAAUAUGUGAUUUUUUUCAUUCAAAUCACCAAAGUCUGCAAAGUAUAGUAGUUAAAUAAAUUGUACCAGCUGCAACAUUACAUUGUACAUAAUUACAAUGCAAUUACAUACAUUAUUCGGAACAUGUCUUUAUGAAAUGUAACACAUUGUAAUUGUGCUUUUGUACCCGUUUACUGUGAUUGUAAAUGAUCUACUUUUUACUUUAACUUGAGUAGACUUAAGUAACAUUUCCUGAAAGUAUUAGUACUUUUAUUUGAGUCUUUUAGAACUCUUUCCACCUCUGCUUUGAAGUUUAAAAAAUGUAUGUGUUAUUGAGGUAAAAGACUGACCACUGUAUGGUUAAAACCACUGAGUGUGUGACUUUGCAAACACAUGAACUAAAUAACUUUUGCGAAAGAAAAAAAACACACACACUGGACAUGACUCUUGAAUAACU